UUUUUUUUUUCGGAGCUGGGGACCGAACCCAGGCCUUGCGCUUCCUAGGUAAGCGCUCUACCACUGAGCUAAAUCCCCAGCCCCUGAAAUCUUUACAAGGAGGGAGUGUGUCCGUGAUUCGAGGUUGCUGAUCAGAGUAGGGCGACCACUCUAAAAACGUAACUGCUUUUGAAAUCACUAAGACCUUUAUAGUAUUGCUGUCACUCUGGCACUUAACUGAUGGGGACACACUAGAAGAAUUGUGUCCUGAGCUAGAGAAAUGGCUCAGAGGUUAAGAGCACUGACUGUUCUUCCAGAGGUCCUGAGUUCAAUUCCCAGCAGCCACACAGUGUUUCACAACCAUCUGUAAUGGGAUCCAAUGACCUCUUCUGGUGUGUCUGAAGACAGCGACUAUUCAUAUACAUAAAUAAAUCUUUUUAAAAAA
RNAcentral lists this long non-coding RNA (424 nucleotides) under Rattus norvegicus (Norway rat). Its description in RNAcentral is "long non-coding RNA NONRATT024083". The record is from RNAcentral. Lineage: Eukaryota; Metazoa; Chordata; Mammalia; Rodentia; Muridae.